UACGAAGGGGGCUAGCGUUGCUCGGAUUGACUGGGCGUAAAGGGCGCGUAGGCGGUUGGCACAGUCAGAUGUGAAAUUCCUGGGCUUAACCUGGGGGCUGCAUUUGAUACGUGUGAUCUAGAGUGAGGAAGAGGGUUGUGGAAUUCCCAGUGUAGAGGUGAAAUUCGUAGAUAUUGGGAAGAACACCGGUGGCGAAGGCGGCUCACUGGCUCAUUACUGACGCUCAGGCGCGAUAGCGUGGGGAUCAAACAGG
RNAcentral lists this ribosomal RNA (253 nucleotides) under uncultured bacterium. RNAcentral's name for it is "partial 16S ribosomal RNA". It matches the Rfam family "Bacterial small subunit ribosomal RNA", at positions 524 to 776 of the family's 1533-position model. The record is from RNAcentral.